UACAGAGGAGCCAAGCGUUGUCCGGAUUGACUGGGCGUAAAGCGCACGCAGGCGGAUGCGCGCGUGGGGUGUGAAAUCUGGCCGCUUAACGGCCAGGCGCCAUCCCAUACGGCGCGUCUGGAGUGAUGCAGAGGUCGAUGGAAUUGCCGGUGUAGUGGUGAAAUGCGUAGAUAUCGGGAGGAACACCAGUGGCGAAAGCGGCUACCUGGCCCAUUCUUGACGCUGAGGCGCGAAAGCUAGGGGAGCAAACGGG
RNAcentral lists this ribosomal RNA (253 nucleotides) under uncultured bacterium. RNAcentral describes it as "partial 16S ribosomal RNA". It matches the Rfam family "Bacterial small subunit ribosomal RNA", at positions 524 to 776 of the family's 1533-position model. The record is from RNAcentral.